GCGGGAGGGGGGCUCCACGGAGCUCCAGCCAGGGCCGCGGUUCGCCUGCACGUCACGGCUACUCAAACCCAAGCACGUCCCGAAAGCGGUAUUUUCUGCGUCUGGGAGGUUUUUGCAUCCUCAGUUCCCACCGCUGGGGCUGGCGGCGACCAACUCGCAGACCUGUCGCAGCCAGAGAGCUGUCAUUUCAGUACCGGGAUUCAGAAUUGAUCCAGUCCGCAGCGGAGGGGGCACAUCCCAGCUACCGAGCUGCUGAGUGUCUCUGGCUGGAACAAUAGUAUUUUUUUCUCUGCGAGGCUGCAAUUAACAUCUUAUUUGUUCUGGCUCCAUACAGGCUUUGUCAGGAUCGCGGUGCGGCGACCGACGUUGGGCUCUUGCAUUGCUUUGUGCUUGGCAAUGGAAUCAUGGUUUCGGGAUAGUCAUUUUGCCUCCUGGACAGUUGGCUGACGAAGUGUCUGAUAAACCAGCUUCAGAUACAUGCUACAAAAGGCUACUGAGCUGGCCUGAUGAUGAUCCUUCUGAGAUAUAUUUAUAGCAGAUGAUUUGUGGAUGAUAACUACGCCAAGCAAGACACUGUCUCCAGUAACCCCAGGCUCGUCUGACUUCCUCAGGGGAUUAUAAUAAAGAAUCACAAAAAGAACCCUAUAUGGACAGUCUGGUCUCUGGACACUAACAACAGCACAAUCCAAAGGCAAAGAAAGGAGGAACCACCUUGUUUCAUGUCUGCAAGCUGCUCCAUAUGAAAGCAUUGCUGACAUGUUGACCCAACAGCAAAAAGAGAGCAGCAGUUUACACACCCUCAGCUCUCUGUCCUUUCCUUUCUAUUGAUGUUGGUCCACUUUUAUGACUGAAUACAUAUUAAAAUCACCAUUUCAAAUUAUAAUUAUCUGCUUUCAUUGGUCUCUUUCACAAGUCUAUGUCUAUAUUUAUGUUUACAUAUAUAAACACAUAUACACAUAUUUUAUACAUACAUAUGUAUAUGUAUGCACGCAUUAUUUGUAAGUACACAUACACGUGUGUGUAUAUAUAUGUAUAUGAUAUGUAUAUGUGUAUUUCAGUUGAUACACAUAUAUUUGCUUGGGAAGUUUCACUACAUUGCUUUGUAUUUCUCUUUUAUAAGGUAAUGCAUUUAAUUCCAAAACUACCACAUUAAUUGUAUAAAUUGAUUAUUACAUAAGUUUCCUUGAUGAUUUACAGAAGAACUAUUGAGAGGUCAGUGUUAGCACAUCAAAAUAUAGUCUGGUAUGGCAUUUUAAAUUGACCCAGGUAUCUAAUAUUAAAGCCUUUCAAAUUUAUCUCUCCUGCUAUUAUUUUAUUAAGAUUACUUUGGAAUGAUGAGGUUAUAAGUGUGAUUUAUUUCUGUUUCAUCUUUUUGUCUGUAUGUGCUAAGUUUAGUCCCUCCACUUUGAGAAUAACCCUAUAAUCCAGGAUCAUUGCUUAAAAUUCAGUAUCAUUUGCAGAAUUCUCAUACUCAAAUAAGAAUGUUUCUAGAAUAUGUUUACUCAAUUUUAGAAAGUAUUUUCUCUUUCCUUCUUUCUGUCAUAGUUUUUCUGAUAUUACUGUAUUACCACAUUCUAAACUCUGUGACUUGUUAUUUUCAGUAAGGCUUUAAGAAGCAUGGAUAGGUUUGUAGGUUAUUUCUUGUUAAAUAUGCCUUAAUUUUUUAGUAUUUAGUAUUAGUAUUUAGUUUUUAGUAUUUAGUAUUUAGUAUCUCCCAUAUAUAUAUAUGCACACAUAUAUAUAUACACAUAUAUAUGUACACACAUACAUAUAUACACACACAUAUAUAUACACACACAUACACAAAGCUUUGGAAUGUUAAUUAAAUGAUCAAAAUAUUACAAGAUUACAUUGUUAUGAGAACUUAUCCUUAAUAUUAGCAUAUUUACUAUAAAGUUAAACAACUUCUUCUCCUCUGUCUCCUGUUUAUUAUCAUUAUUUUAUUAUUAUUAAAAAAGGAAGUCUCUCAGAAACCAAGCUGUAUAUCCUCUAGUCUCUAUGUAAAAAAACAAAUUGGUCAUUUUCUACUUGGACAUCCCAGAAUAGAAAGUACAUUGAAGUACUAAAAAAUAAAGGGAUAGACUUGGGGUUAAGGGAGAUGUCAUAGAACAGCUAUCCUGGGUUAGUUCAAGUGUAGUCCUAUUCCAUGCUAGGCAAAGUCAAGGUUACAAAAAUCCCAGUUGCAUCAGGUUUCCAUUUUUUAUCAUUAUUUCCCUAUACAACGAUACAAGUUAAAAAAAAGUCGGUAAAUACUUUUGGCCAUCAAUUUUCAAGAUUUCAUUGGUGAUAUUAAGGAAAUGCUGUAAGUAGGUAACACAUAAUGUCAUAUUUGUGUGCUGUAGAAGUAUCUUGGAAAAUAUGGACUUUAAAACCUCAAAAUAUGGGUUUGCAAUCGAACAUACAUUCACCCCCAAAUUUGACCUUUUUCAGCUAGUUAUUUUCUCAUAUAAAGUUACUAUACUUACACCAUUAUCUUUAAUCCCUGAAAUUUCAAUUAUACUAGAAAUCAAGAUUCUUCAUUUUUACUCACGAAACUGACACUAAGUAUAUACCUCAUUAAGGACAAGAAGCUAUGAAUUCUCUGGACUUCAGUUAUCUCACAGAAAAGAGCUUGAUUGAAUAAUGUCUAAGGCUCUUCCUGACAUAGUCUAAAUAACAGAAGGUGUCUCACAAGAAAUGGAAGCAGUGAGAGAAAAAUGCAAUUAAAUCCUAGACUAGAAAGAAUCACAAUUUUCCCACUCACAGGUUGGAAAUGCCUCUCUAUUCUAUCACAAUUUUGAAAACCUCCAUAGUUUUACUAGCUUUGCCUUUCUCCCUUGCUAUCAUCUUCUGAGGUACAGACAGUCCUUUCCAUUUUUAUUCCUCUCCCACUCUGAUAAUUUUUUUCUUUGACAGAAGUCCCACUUUAUCAUUAAUGAUGACAAUAACUAAGGCUGCCAGGAACAGCACAUCUGCUGAGCUUUAUCAACACCAGAUUCUCUCAUUUUGCCUUCUGGAUCUCCAUGCUUUUUUAUACCAACAAACAAGAGGAAGAAUAUUCUCUACCCACUUCCUUGACUGAAGCCUGCUCUUUUAUGAAGACAUGGCAUCUCUUCCAACCGUGUCAAACAGAUGCAAUUUAUAUGUCUGCUGCUUCCAUACCCUGAUUAAAUGGGUCAGUGGCAGAAUCAGUAUCCUUAGUCUCCCCUUUGGUUUCAAAUAUGUACUCCUUAUUUCAGUUUCAUGCUCACCUUUCUGUAGAGACCAAGGCAUCUGCCUUUGCAGCUUUACCUCUUCCUCCAGGUUAUAGUUUCCAUUCAUGGAAUCUUUUAGCUGCUGGCUGGCAGUUUUCCUGUCUACCUGACUUCCAUUCCUCUUCUCAUGACUUCAGCUCCCAUGCAGAUGUCUUAUCCUGACAUACUAGCUUCUCCAUUCUAUUUCUGUGUGUGUGUGUCUGUGUGUUUCCCUACUAGUUCAUCCACAUUUCCCUAUGGUCUUUUUUUUUUAUGUUUUAUUUUUGCAUAUGUGUAUUUCCUUUUAUUUAUUUAUUUAUUUAUUUAUUUAUGUAUUUUUUUUUUUUUUUUUUUUUUUUUUUUUUUUUUUUUUGAGACGGAGUCUCGCUCUGUCGCCCAGGCUGGAGUGCAGUGGCGGGAUCUCGGCUCACUGCAAGCUCCGCCUCCCGGGUUCACGCCAUUCUCCUGCCUCAGCCUCCCAAGUAGCUGGGACUACAGGCGCCCGCCACUACGCCCGGCUAAUUUUUUGUAUUUUUAGUAGAGACGGGGUUUCACCGUUUUAGCCGGGAUGGUCUCGAUCUCCUGACCUCGUGAUCCGCCCGCCUCGGCCUCCCAAAGUGCUGGGAUUACAGGCGUGAGCCACCGCGCCCGGCCUCCUUUUAUUUUUUUAAUUAUUAUACUUUAAGUUUUAGGUUACAUGUGCACAAUGUGCAGGUUAGUUACAUGUGUAUACAUGUGCCAUGCUGGUGUUCUGCACCCACUAACUCGUCAUCUAGCAUUAGGUAUAUCUCCUAAUGCUAUCCCUCCCCGCUCCCCCCACCCCAUAACAGGCCCCAGAGUGUGAUGUUCCCCUUCCUGUGUCCAUGUGUUCUCAUUGUUCAAUUCCCACCUAUGAGUGAGAAUAUGCGGUGUUUGGUUUUUUGUUCUUGUGGUAGUUUACUGAGAAUGAUGAUUUCCAAUUUCAUCCAUGUCCAUACAAAGGACAUGAACUCAUCCUUUUUUAUGGCUGCAUAGUAUUCCAUGGUGUAUAUGUGCCACAUUUUCUUAAUCCAGUCUAUCAUUGUUGGACAUUUGGGUUGGUUCCAAGUCUUUGCUAUUGUGAAUAGUGCCGCAAUAAACAUACGUGUGCAUGUGUCUUUAUAGCAGCAUGAUUUAUAGUCCUUUGGGUAUAUACCCAGUAAUGGGAUGGCUGGGUCAAAUGGUAUUUCUAGUUCUAGGUUCCCUAUGGUCUUUAACUAAAAAGUCUAACCAGUGACUAAACUGCUUCCAGUAUUUAAAAUUUAAUGUUUCAAUUCUCCAAUUACAACCUUCUGCUUUUAUAAACUCACCUCCUAAGUAACCACAUGGAAUCAAGUCUUUCACAAAAUUCAGGUCUUUUUUUUAUUAUUAGUGAUUCCCACCAAUUUCUGCUCUUAUCUUCACUUUCCUCCUUAUACCCUGUGGUAAGCAGCCUCUAACAUGGACCCAAAUGAUCCCUACUUCCUGAUAUGUGUGUCCUUGUGUAAUUGUCUCUCUCUUGAAUGUGGGCUAGAUUUAGAAAUUUGCUUUUAUCAAACAGAAUAUGGUAGUAGCAAUGGGAUGUUAAGAUAUAAAAUGACUGUGUUUUCCAUCUUGGGAGCUCCUUUACUCUUCCUUAGAGCAUUUGUUUGCCAGUAAGCCAGGUGCCAUGUUGUCAUACAGCCCUAAAUAGAGAAGUCCAUGUGAGUUUGGCCUUCUGAGGCCUGUCAAAAGACACAUGAGUGAGCUCAGAAGUGGAAGCUUCCUCAUUCAAGUCUUGAGAGGACUGCAGCCCAGCCAACAUCCUGGUUGCCACUACAUGACAGGCUUGAGCCAGAAUCAAGCAGCUAAGCUGCUUCUGGAUUCCUGACCUACAGACACUAUAAAUCAGGAAUGUUUGGCUUCCAACUGCUAAAUUUGGGGAUAAUUUGUUAUGCAAAUAUAGGUAACUAAUGUAUAUCCCAUGGAUUCCACGCCCAUUGUUAUAAUAAUUUACUUACAACAGUCUUCAGCUAUUUAACAUUUUUCUGGCUGGAUCACCACGUUUACUGUGAUGAACAACUGCCCUUCCUGAUCCAGGACCCAUGCAGCAGAGCAUUACUGAAGAAAUUCACACCCUCAGGCAGUUAGAUGUCCCUGUAAAGUUAUAGUCACCAGGUUCUCAUGAUCUCACCACACAGACUGUUACUUAUAAGCUCCCUCUCUUAUUACACCCUAUGAAUAUUUUGUAACUUUUCUCUGAUUAUUAAAAAUGCUUCUCCUCAACUCUUGAAUGAUAAGUGAUAACCUUUUUUCAUUCAUUAUUUAUAAAACAGAUGUGAUUAGAUGGAAAAUAUCUUAUAUUCAUUAAACUGAUUGUACCUUCACCCAUUUUCUCCUGUCUUCCUAUCUCCAGGGAGAUACUGCUCUUAUCUAAGAGCCAUCCCCUCCACAGGUAACUUGGAUAUUACUUCUAUUGGCUCUCACACCAAUAAUCUCUCCCUCUCUCCUGGACCACUUCCAUCAGCAUACAUAUUUUAUAGCAAUACUACCUGUCUAAAAACUUCUGAUCAACAACCUGUUUCUCAGAUACACUUCAUAAUGAAUCUUUUUUUAAAAAGCAAUCACAUUCAGUUCACUUCCUGACUCCCUCUCAUUUCUCAUCUCAAUCCAUUCUGGCUUCCACCCCCACAAUUCCACUGAAAAAAAUCUUGUCAAAAAUCACUAAAGACCUUCAUGAUGCCAAGUUAAAGGGAUAAAUGUUUUUCUCAUCUUACUCUAACUUUCAGCAGCAUUUUAAAUGCAAUGCCCUCCUUUUGGAAACCACUUCUAUUUUUGUUUCUGUUUUAUCAUACUCUCCCAGAUGUACUUUUACAUCACUGAUCACUGUGAAGACACUGAGACACUUCUCAGUGUCUUUUGCUUGUUCUUCUUCCACAUUAACUUGAAAUGCUGACUGCUUUAGAGAUAAGUGUUGGAUGUACUUCCCUUAUUUCUCUACCACCUCCCCUUCGGUGAUCUAAUCCACUCCCUAAUAUUGAAUAAUAGGGAGUGAAUAAUCCACUCCCUAAUGAGUAUGUAUAUGUACAUACAUGCAUACACAUAUAUGAAUAGACACCCCAUGUAUAUUCCUUUAACAAAGAUAUCUCCUCUGAGCUCUAGAUUUUUAAAUAAUCAGCUGCCGUGAUUUAUAUCUCUACUAAAUAUGCCUCACAGUCAUCUCAGAUUUGGGGUAAUUGAAGAAAAAUUCCUGAUUACUCCAAAGAAAUGUGCUCUUCCCUCAGUCUUUCUGUUUCAGGAAAUGGCAUCCCUAUCCACCUAGUUAUUCCAUUGGCAAACAUGGGAAUGAUACCUGCUGCUAAUUUUCUAUCACUCUACAUCUAAUCCCUUGACAAAUAUUGCCUGUUCCACUUUGUAGAAGUUUCCUAGGGCUGCCAUAAUAAAAUUCCACAAUGUGGGUGGUUUAAGCAACAGAAAUUUAUUUUUUUUCAGUUUUGGAGGCUAGAUGUCUAAAAUCAAGGUCCAUAUUGGAUUGGUUCCUCUGGGGCCUCUUUCUCUGGCUUGCACAUGGCUGCCAUCUUGCUGCCUCUUCAAAUGGGGUUGGGGUGUGCAGAGAUGGGCACAAUUCAGCUCAUGAUAUAACUGCAAUACAUAGAUCUCAAACCUAACCAGUUGUUUCUUUUUUCACUGUUAUCUUUUGUGUGUGUGUGUGUGUGAUGUACGUAGUUUUUGCUUAGUCUAUUCUACCUGGCAUUCAAUAUUCUUUGUUAAUCUAUCUCUAAUAAGUUAUACUUCAAAAACGUAUCCCUUUAAAAUCAAAUGGAAAAACAUUUUAAUUCCAGGUACUUCUCACGUAGCACAAAUAAUAAAAUCCAAACUUUUAAUCGUGACCGACAGUGCCCUACCUCAUCUGAUUCUCGCUCCUCUCUCUAACUUCAUCUUGUGUCACACUUCUGCUUACAUAUAAUGCCCAAGCUACAUUCACCUUUUUCUAAGUCACGAGGACGCUACAUUUUUAUCUCCUUACAAUCUUCCAAUGUCAGAAUUAUUCUACCUGGAAUACACUUCCCCUUUUCUACUGCUAGGAGAAACUUUAUAGGCCUGACCUGCCCGCUUCUCAUGCCUCAGAUUUCAUCUUGAAAAUUCCCUUUUUGGAGCUUUUUAAUUUUUUUUUUUAACCACCCAAUCUAUGGUGAUCUCUCCUUAUGUUCUCUUUCAAGGUACUUAUCUGCUUUGUUUUGUUUUUUUACUCAGGUAUAUACUUUAAGUUCUGGGAUACAUGUGCAAACGUGCAGGUUUGUUACAUAGAUAUAUACGUGUGCAUGUUCUCACUCAUAAGUGGGAGUUGAACAAGGAGAACACAUGGACACAGGGAUGGUAACAUCACACACUGGGGCCUAUCUGUUUUAUACUAGUUACCAAUUUUUAUUUAAUUGGUCUUCAUCUUUUUGUUUUUUAUGAGUGUGUUAGCUCCAUCAUUACAAACUCCUGCCUAAAGUAGUGCAAGACACAUGGUGAGUGCUUCCUAGGUCUUUAGUGAAUAAAUGGGUUGAACAACAUGGUAAAUCUUAUAUAUGGGUAUUAGUUGUGUCCAUUGGAGAAAUAUCUAUUCCAACAGCUCACGUAUUCCUGCAUAACAACUCAGCUAGAGUUCUCUCUUCCCUGUACCAAAUUCCUGAUUUCCUGAGAAAUUUCUCAGGUGACAUGGUCUCCAGACUUUUCAUCUUUAUGACUGUUUUCAAUUGAUCUUAGCUUGUCACAGUUCUUUGAUGCCACAAUUAAACAAAAUACUCCAGAUUUCAGCUGCUCAGCAUGGUUGUAAUACCCUUAUUUCUUCAAUCCAGAGAAAUAAACAGGGAGCAUCUAUGUAGCCAAACUGUGAAUUUAUAAUGAUGAAUGUCUCAUAUGAGGAGAAUAAGGCUUUCAAAUCCCUGAAGUCAACUGAUCAUUUACAUAUUUAACACAUAAUUAAUAAGCACUUACACCAUAUAAGAUAGUUGUAAGGUGUUUGGGAAACUGAAACGACAACACAGAGUCCCUGCCCUUCUGAUGAAUGCCUUGUAUUUGUAGUGAGAGCCAAUGAACAGCAAGCCACCAGAUAAUUAUUAAUGGCAAGUGUGUCAAAUGUCUCAGAGAAGAGACAAAGGAAGUUGUGAGAGGUGUGGAGUCUUGUUUGUGGGAACAGAGGGGAUGACCUAGUAUGGAAGGGCAGAGAACAUUUAUUUACCUGAAUACGUAACGGUUGACCAGCAAUUCGAAGGAUACUAAUGAAAUUUAGUCAUGCUCAUCAAAGGGAACAGAGUGUACAAAAAAAUUGAGGCAGAAGGAAGUGGAACACAUUCUAGGUAAAGAAAGUUAAGGUGAGGGAAUAAAAAGGACAAAGAGGUCAGUGGCAAUUGACAACAUUUCUGAUAAAUUGUUUGCUAAAUAUUAGGAUAAAAAUCAGUGAGUCUUGGCCGGGCACGGUGGCUCACGCCUGUAAUCCUAGCACUUUGGGAGGCUGAGGCAGGUGAAUCACCUGAUGUCAGGAGUUCGAGACCAGCCUGGCCAACAUGGUGAAACGCCGUCUCUACUAAAAAUAUAAAAAAUCAGCUGGUCUUGGUGGUGGGCACCUGUAAUCCCAGCUACUCGGGAGGCUGAGGCAGGAGAAUCACUUGUACUCUGGAGGCGGAGGUUGCAGUGAGCUGAGAUUGCGCCAUUGCAUGCCAGCAUGGGCGACAAGAGCAAAACUACAUCUCAGGGAAAAAAAAAAAAUCAGUGAGUCUUUGUAAUAAUAAUAAUAUGAUUGAAAGGAUUGUAAACAGAGACUAACUCAGAUUUACACAUUUUAACAACUAAUUUUCAUUUCAGUCGGAGGAGCGAUUUGAGAGAGGUAAGAGUGAAUGUGAAGAUUCAAGUCAGGAAACUGUUACAUAAGUGAAAAUGGUGGCAUCAGUAUGGAUGAAGAAGAGAAGUGUCCAAGAGACCUUUGGAGGCAAAAUUAAUAGAAUGUGUCAAUGGUUAGGUAUAAGGAGAAUGACUGGAUCUGGAUAAGAGUCUCUGUUAGUGAAUCUGCUGUAUGCACUGCUGGUUCAUAUUCAAGUGACAGUUAGUUAAAAUACGUUGAUCUAGAUAUUUAUUUAUAUUUAGAAUUAAGUGUUUAUUACUUUAUACAAUUGAAUUUGUGAUCUUAAAUGUGUGUGUGUGUGUGUGUGCUUGAGAGACAGUGUGCAAGAGAGAGAGAGAAGGGAGAGAGAGACACACACAGAGAGACACACACAAAACAUGGCGACAGAAAAUAACAAUUUAUUUGUCUCACAAAUAUGCAAUCUGGGGAGUCCUUUUCUGUUGGAAUAGCUUGUCUUUUGACACUGUCUUUCAGGGUCAUCUUGAAUAAACUGGGUGUGAAGGGUCCAUGUCCAAGAUAGCUCCACCUGUGACUGGCAUUUGGCACUAGCUAUUGGCUGGGGGCUCAGUAGGAGCCGUAACACAGGGGAUGUAGUACCUCUUUACACAGGCCAUUCUAUAGGGCUGCUUGCUCUUCCACACAGCAUUGCAGCUGUCUUUCAUAAGUCAGUGUUCGAAAAUGUAGGAAAAGAAAUCUGUCAGUGUCUUAAGACCUAGGUCUGUAAAUUGGUACAGAUUCAUGUCUGACAUUAUUCUUAGUCAAACAGUCACUAAGCUUGUUCAGCUUCAAGGUGCUGGUGGAGGGGGGCUGGGCUGGGAGGGAGAGAGCUGAAAAAUCACUAGUUCUUAAUGUAGUCACCAUUCUCAAUGAAAGGAAUAUUAAAGAAUGUGUGAUAUGUGGUGUACACUCUGUUCAUUGACAUCUUCUUGCUGGAUUCUAUCAUUCAAUAUGUUAGGUAUUAUUCCAUAAUCAAUGACAUCUGCAUAUCUGAAGUGAUUUCCAAGUCAGUGGCCACUGUUUCAACAUAGUGUCAGUGACAUACAACUAGAAACAUUUCUCCAUUAUAAUGCAAACUUCUAGAGGGCAGGAAUAUUAUCUUAUCCCAUAAUAUCAGCCUUUGGACAGCACUUGAUAAAUAUUGUUUUUCUAGCUCACUAAUUGAGAUCCUUUUAGUUGUUAUAGAAUGUUAUUUAAUCAAACAAUCCAUAUUUAUCUUUCCUUUCUUCAGGAACAUGAGAGAUUAUUUCAAAUACCUUGUAAGAAGAAGAAGCAUAUGUACUAUGCUUACAACAUUCUGCUCUGUGACAUCCCUAGCAGUAGUUGUUAGAUUAAUAGUAUUAUUUCUUAGUAUAGCCAGGCUGGUUUCUAUUUAUCCCCAUUUUGUUUUCUAUAAAUUCACAAACCACCUAUUCUGUAACAUAUUCCAUAAUUUUUACAGAGACCACUAUUAAAUUUAAAGUUUAUUAAAUUUAAUAAAGCACGAUUUCUAGAAUUCAGCCCCUUUUCCCAUUUAAAAUAAAGCCCGUAUUUAUCACCUACUACUAUUUGUUUCCUGUGUCCACCUAUUUUCCAAGAUUUUUCAAACGUAGUUGGAAAUACUUUAAUAAGAACACUUAUACUUUCUUUAAGUAUACUGUGAUGUAAUUUUUCUAGACCAGG
This 10734-nucleotide long non-coding RNA is filed under the name Homo sapiens (human). RNAcentral's name for it is "HSALNT0334965". Lineage: Eukaryota; Metazoa; Chordata; Mammalia; Primates; Hominidae. The record is from RNAcentral.